GUUGGGUGGUGGGUUGGUUUAGUGUGAUAUGAUUGAUAUGUCACGAAGGAGGAAUGGGGUUAAGGCAAGAAAGUGGUUGCUUGCUUUAGUAUUGGUCAUAUGUGCAAUUGUUAGGAUAGGGCUAAGACUAGGGCUAGAUUGGGGAGUAGGAUUAGCCAUUAACUCAAAAAAGAAUUGCAAUAUGGUUGAUGUUGAAGUGCUAGCUAUGGUAGUAGAGGCAUCCUUAGCUAAGCUGGUGGCUAUGCCAUCUAGGAAUGUUUCCAUUAAAUCUUGAUUAAUUAUGAAGGAGGAAUGAUUUGGAUUAGCGUCAGAAUAGAUA
This 319-nucleotide long non-coding RNA is filed under the name Elaeis guineensis (African oil palm). RNAcentral describes it as "long non-coding RNA (EGUI_LNC048047)". The record is from RNAcentral. Lineage: Eukaryota; Viridiplantae; Streptophyta; Magnoliopsida; Arecales; Arecaceae.